Long non-coding RNA from Amphiprion ocellaris (clown anemonefish), 2763 nucleotides. RefSeq lists it as uncharacterized. The record is from RefSeq and is a predicted model, not a curated record. Lineage: Eukaryota; Metazoa; Chordata; Actinopteri; Pomacentridae. The transcript has 2 exons.
GGAGGCCAUGAAAAACACUACAGAAAGGUUUUCUUUGAAAAAAAAAUCAUCAUGAAUUUUGGCGCAAAAAAACCGCCAUGUCGAAAAAUGUCAUUUUUCAACAUAUUGUGAAAACAUGCCAUAUGAUGAAAUAAUGUAAAUCAGGCUGUGAGAAACACUCCAGAAAGGUUUUCUUUGAAAAAAAAAUCAUCAUGAAUUUUGGCGCAAAAAAAACGCCAUGUCGAAAAAUGUCAUUUUUCAACAUGUUGUGAAAACAUGCCAUAUGAUGAAAUAAUGUAAAGCAGGCUGUGAGAAACACUCCAGAAACGGUUUUCUUUGAAAAAAAAAAUCAUCAUGAAUUUUGGCGAAAAAAAAGGAAUUCUUCAAGGCGAAGAUCGAUCAGCUCUACAGCAGCAUCUACAGCAGCAUCUCCAUGUGAAAGCUGACGAACCUCAUUUUCCUCCAAGCUUCCCGACUCUACGAACUGCUUCGACCAGCGACCUGCAGUGGGACAAAGACGUGUCACCUGAGGCUUAACAUGCUUUUGAGAAGCGAACCAAAACUGGCCCAACUGUAGAGGAUUUGAAAUGCCUAGAUAAAAACAAAUUAAACAAGAAAAUUAAAUACAAUGCACAUUGUCAUAUGUAUUUCCUUUUGGGUCGUGCAUUUAAUCCAUUGAAAGCGUACGUUAAAAAGAUAGUUUUACCUUAGCUGACAUUUAAGCAAGACUCUACAUUAUUAUUUGACACAAAUCUAUCUCAAUCAAAAUUUUCAUCAUUUUUACUCCAAACAUUUACUGGACUGAUUUAAAUAUUAAAAUCACUCCUUUCUAAUCCUCUGCUGUACGUUCAAAUCUGAGGCCUUAAAUAGAGAAACACACAAGUAUCUGUUUGAAGGAACUUCUGCAGAGUCCUGGUUCCAGAACAUGAUGAUAGAAUUAUAGACAAACUUUAACAAAAGCUGCCUGAGAGUUUACAGGUUUUUAUGUUAGAUUUCUUCAGUAAUUUAAUGAGAGUUAUCAGCAAUAAUCAAGUGUUCAUUUGAUGAACUUUAUUUCCUCAAACAUCCAGAACUGGAGCUCAUAUCUUUGGCAGGUGUAAAGUUUCUGCUCCUUCAAAGUUCACAACACAAUAAAUGAAUUCCUAAAACACUCUCAAUGCUGGAGAGCGUUUGUGAUGCUGAAGCAGUGACCAGUUUUUCUGUUUCUUCUCUGGAGAUGCACAAUGAGGGACGUCUGCAGAGACUGAGAAAGUCUCACCACAUCCUGACAUGAGGGAAAAGACUUUAUUGAAGACUACAAUGAGAAAAACUAUCAGACAGCAGACGGCUGCAUUCAAGUCUGUAGCUGCUGAAUUCAUGGAUGAAUCAUCUGGCACUAGAGAGGAAGACCAUCAAACAUCCACGUCAGCUGAUGGAGGUCCAAGAGUCUCACCCAACAAACAACCUACAGAGUGAAGACCUCGAACCUGAUUGGACGGCCUCCUAUUCAGCCACAUGUGAACAAAUGCCUCUAUGUUGGUUUGUUUUCUAAAAUAACAUGACAUGUUCAGGCGUUCUUUGUGUGAAAACUCAGAGAUUUCAGGUAUCAGAAGGUGGUUUUUAACUUUCUUUGUUAACUUUCUGCCUCAACUUUAAACUAAAUUUCCUUCACUAACCCAGCCCUCUGGACUUCCAGUAAGCUGUGUUCCCAUUGGCUGUCCAGGCGGCUGCUUGGUGUUAUCAGGAACACCUGAGCAGCGCAGUGUCUUCCUGUUUUAUUUAGCUGCAGACAAACAUUUCCUCUGCUUCACCACUGAACCGGGUUUGGCUCCAUUGCUUUAGUUUGUGCUUUAGGCGUUGGCUUGCAGCUUCCAGCAGUAAAAUCGUCUUUAAUGUGUUUCUUGGUGUGUUUUACGGCUUUGUACUGGAUAGUUGUCUUGGUAAAUGUGGUUCUUUAGCCACAGUUAGCACAUGGUGCUAAUGUGUGCAGUGAUUAGUGGAUUUGGUGCAGCUGAGUUGUGUCUUUAUUUUGGCUGUAGUGAGUCUUUAGAGGUUUUUGGUCAGACACAUUCUGUAUUCUUGUUUGAGAACCAACGUUGGUUGUCCAGAAGGUAAGAGUUCCUGUCCUGAUUCUCUGUUUAAAGAGGUUCUCUGGUUGCAGGAGACUUUAGCAUUUGGGUUGUGCUAGUUUGGUUUUUGUACCGUUUCAUUUGGACGACUAUCUUGAGGCCCCUCCAUGUGGUUUAGUGAGGUUUUCUGGAACAGUUCUACAAAGCAACCUGCAGCAGAAGAGACUUUGAGAGUUUUUAGGAAGUUCGGGAGAGCAGACUUUAGAGCAGCAGAAACAUUUGUCAGCAGUUUGAGCAGGAGAAGGUGAGCUUCAGAGUAGAAAUGAGACAGAAACCUUCUUGACCUGUGUGGUGAGGUCCUGUACCAAGAGUUUGAGCAGGUUGUGAAGAGUCUGUAGUUCUUUGGUCUGAAAGCACAAGAAGAGUCGACUCCUUAAAGGAGAAAACAGGAGAUAUUGUUGGUUCUUCUGUGGCUCUACAGUUUCCAGUUUCCUUAGACUGAAUAUCAAGUUUAUAUUUUAAAUGAUUUAACAUGUGAGCCCAAGAAGACGUCAAUAAACUCCCUCAAUCCCCUGGACACAACAUAUUUUAUUACCAUGUUAAAUCUUUUUUUUUAAAAAAUAUGUUUCUGAGUUUUAAUCAUAGUUUUAGCAUAGUUUUUUUUCUUUGCUUGUUUAGUUUUGUCAUGUGUGUGAAAGGUGCUAAACAAAUAAAGUUGAAUUGAUAAACUGAAUAA